Long non-coding RNA from Calidris pugnax (ruff), 4132 nucleotides. RefSeq lists it as uncharacterized. The transcript has 3 exons. Lineage: Eukaryota; Metazoa; Chordata; Aves; Charadriiformes; Scolopacidae. The record is from RefSeq and is a predicted model, not a curated record.
GAAAAGAAUCAAAAUUAUAGGGACCUUCCUCACCCGAGAAGCACAGAGCCAGGAAUGAGAAUUCAAGAUCCAGCAAGAAGCAUCCAGAGGAGCCUGUGGAAGCAACCACCUGAAACAAUCCUCUCCACCUGUAGCUUCAUGUGCCUUAUCUCCGAAUCACCGCGUAUGGGCUUUCUUCUGGCACUGAGUCAGUCUGCUUAUUGUUAAGUGUUUCCUCAUCUGUUUUUGGCUCCAUGAUGGAUUUCUCCUGGACCCUGAAAGUGGUGAAUAGUUUUGAAGGAAAAUAACCCCACUGAAGCAGAAUACAAUUUGAAGAACCCUCCACAUGUUAUUGCUAAGUCCGGGGAGCCUUCCUUCAGGAUUAAUAGUUCCUAAAUUGCUUCGAUGGCCAGGGCUAGCCGUGUUCUGGGAGGCACAGCAAGUCUUAGGUGGCCUCCUUAGCUCUGGUUUUGCCUCAGAUUGUUUUCACUCCCGUUUCCUCCAAGCUGUCUUUCCUCCUCAGCUGCUCUUCUUCCUCUCUUACUCUCAUGGUGUUGCUCUUCUGUGCAAAUAUACGUAACUUAAAUCACGGUUGCUGUGGUUACACUUUCCGCUCUUUCUAUUUGAGUAUUAAAUUUUGCUUUAUUUUUAAUCAAACCACAUCACAUUUAUUUUUGGGGUCACAGAAGCAUAUUUGGCAUGUUUAAGUUACCACUGUGAGGUUCUUCUCCAAACAGAAUUCAAACCAUUAUGUUACAAUCUGUACCAGACCCUUCCUAGCAGCUGUGUUUAUACAGCUCCUAGUAAAAUGGGCCCCUGAUUAAGAUUUUGAAUAGCGCAUUCACUGUAAAAACGGUGUUUUGAACCAGCUAAAGCUAUUAAAAAAAUUGGGAUAAUGUAUGAUUAAAAGUUUUGGUUUGAAGAAAUGUCAGUGGCAACACCCUGCCAAAUUUUUGGCCCAAAACAUCAUCACCGAUAGUAUCACAAAGAUAAAGUUACCGGAAUUUAACCGGGUAAGAAAUGCUUUUCUUUUGCUUGCUUAAAAAAAUAGCUAAAAAAUUCAUGUGACAGAGAUUGAAAAUUAUAUGUUCAGAGUAGUCACAGAAAUUGGUUGAAGUUUGGUAAAUUAUAUGAAACUGAGGACAGUAAAUAGCCAUUCUGUUCCUGCUGUGCCAGACAAUCUCUGAGGUUGGAGAAGUGAGAGUUGGUAUGCCAGCAGCAAAGCCUUCUGGUGUGUAGGGAGCCCUGCAGGCUUCCAAAGUGUUAAGGCUGGGAAGAAAAGGUACCUCAUCUGGGCUGUUCCCCACUGUGGAGCUGGCAGCUGCAUUUCCGAUAUUCUGCAAGUUUGGCUGCUUUUUUUUUUGCUGCAGGUACUGGCAUUGAACAGAACCAGUAAGCCUACAUUAAGGCAGGGAAACACAAGUGCUGCUUCUGCUCCAUUAAACUGGAAUACAUGAUUAAAGGACCAAAAGCUACUUCAGCUGACAAACUCCAUACUUAAAUGUUUUUUAAAUUGUAAACUAAGAGCAAAGAUUUAUAAGUUUGUGUCAUGAUCCAUAAAUCUAGAUCUCUUCUUGUCCUUUUACUCUAGACAAAUGGCUUGUAGAGGAAAUUGUAGUGGUUUGGAUAAGUCUAGGUUUCAACAGUCAGCCCUCUUAGGUCAGACUUGUAAGAAACAUCUGUAAUUGUUUGAGGAAUUUGGCAGACGAUCUUGUACUUAAAUCACAUUUUCCCCUUUGAAAGUUGGAAAUGUCCAUGUAUAAAUUAGACACACAAGCCAUAUACCUCUGCACUUGUGGAAUUAGACAAGGGAUCAACUUGCUGUUACCUUGUAAAUCCUACUGCAAGGUAAGAGCAAGUUGAUACUUUGCUGUAGUAAAAGAGACCAGCUUAAGGUUCUUUAAAACUGUGUACCUUUUUUGUGCCUCAGAAUAAAAUCUCAUGGUUUUAAGGGGAGUUGCCAUUAAGUGGCAGGCUACUUCAGUGUUUAGAAUUUGCCUUUUGGUUUGGAUUUUCUAAGACUGAAAUCAAAAGGUUCUUUGAAUAAAAUUACACAGACCCUCCUUUCCAGGCAGAAUUGCUCUUAUGUGCAUAGUUGUCACAUACUGGGCCUCUUGAGUCCAUUUAACAUACAGUUGUGCGUAGUCUGUCCAGAAUCAUCUUAUCUUGCAAUAAGAUCAUGUGAAUUCAAAGUAUAUUAAAUUUAAUCCUGGUUUUCAGGAUUAUACCCUGCAAAUUCAAAAUUGCAGAGUAUAAGCAAGGCAUAAUGUUCCUGACUGCUCAUUAUAAAAAAUGAGGCCCAGCUCAUUGUGAAGUAAGUCUUUGGUUCUGCCACUGAAAGCAGAAUUCGGUAAACAGACUUCAGUGGGAAAUUCAAGCUGAUGUCUGGUGACCUUUGUCAAGCAGAACAAAUGUUUGCCACGUUUGCUAGAAUUGUGUUAGUGCUGGAUGCUUCUGGUACAGCCUGAGCAAAUGAAGUUUAAAAGUCUGGCUGGCUAUCAGCAAACGUUGCCUUUUGAUGGAGUCCACAAAUGCUGUAGCAUAGACCCUCCAGGCAGGAAUUUGAGCCUCUGCUUUAUUUGAUGCCAGAUCCUUUAAUAGCUUCAGAAAGUGAUUUUGCUUGUAUCGGAAAAGCAUGAUGAAAACAAGCAAAAUCCAGAAUAAUGUGUUAAAAUUAAUUCCCAUAUGUCAGAUUCCUGCACAGAAUGUCCUUUGGUGGACACAGUAGUUGUCUGAACAACCUGAGGAAGAGGCAGUCACACAGAUGCUGCAUACAGGCUUCAUCUCUGUAUCUUCCAGCUCAGGAAUGACAAAGAACAGCUAUUAAAUAUUUAAGCUUAGCUCAGCUCUUAGUGGAUAAAGAGCCAAAACCAGGCAAGAACCCCUCCACCACUGCCACCCCCCCCAAAAAAAGACAAAAUUUGCAACUGCUCGUUAUAUCUAACCUAUAAGACCUAAAAGGUGAUUCAGAGACUCAUCUGUGUUUCUGACCUUGACCACUCACACUGAAAUGCUGGUAUGUUUACUGUGGAAAUGCCCUCGGUAGCUUUGAGCUCGAGGAUGUACUGGAUUUCUUCCUAGCAGCGUGCAGUGACCAGUCUUGUGUGAUGCCAAGCCUUUACAUAUUCAGCACCCUGCUUUAUUUUAAGGACAAGCUUAGUUGGUUGUCAAUAGUCCUUCUGAGGCAAGGAUUUUUACCAUGGGCUGAUUGAGUGAGAAUCACGCUAGAGGAAAUCAAGCUGGGAGAAUUGCCUCCCUUGAAGCCAUUCCUGGAACAAAAAAUGCCACUACUGUCUUCAGUAUGUCACUACUGUAGCACCAUGAAAAACAGGCUUACUGUUUUCUUGCAACGCUUUCCGCCACCUUCUUUGCCCUUGUUUUCCUUUCUGUCCUCUAUACUUUUUCUUUACUGCUCUCACUUCCACAUUCAGUGUCCCCCUCUGUUUUCACUUACUCCUUUACACACUUAAUCUGAGGCAGUCAGUUCUAACUGGGUUUUUUUUUUUGCCUUUACUCCCUGGGAAACAUCCAUAUCUUUUCUGCUCCCUUCCCAGGGCUUUUUCAUAUGCCAGCACUGGCACGUCUUCAAGCCUCCCUGCUCCUCCAGCCAGGCAAGUAGUUGAUGAUAACAGACGGGGCGCCGGACUGGCCUCAGCUGAGUAUCUCCCCUUUGGGAUGUUCUUGGUGGCCACUGCCAUGCUGGAUGCAGCAUGGCCCAGUUUCUCUGUGUGUGCUGGGGGUGGCAGGAAGGGUUGGCAUAGACAGCACAAAGCAAUCUGGCAUCUUCCACAAUUGCAUUUAUUUUCCCUAUGAAUAUAGGCUUCCUUUUCAGGAAGAUUACCUGUUUGGAAGACAUUUUUCGCAUCUUCAGGGGAAUACAGUGUAAUAUUUCUCUCGCAAGCCUGUCUGAACCACUUCAAGAAGUUGCAGUGAGUAUGUUGGAACUGAUUGGCAGGUGUCAGUCACUGGUUAUACAUCUUCAAUGUUUUUCUUAGGCAGGCUGAAUUGCCUGAUACAGCUCUCUGGAAUGUAGCAGGGGGCAAUGCAGCAUUUUCAUUUAAUUGCUUGUGGAGAUAGCUGCAGGAUUGUGGUGUCAGAAAAUAUUGCUAAAUCUCAGGGGAUUUCUUGGCAUUUUGUUGCCACAAUAAGGUCA